Long non-coding RNA from Fukomys damarensis (Damara mole-rat), 280 nucleotides. RefSeq lists it as uncharacterized. The record is from RefSeq and is a predicted model, not a curated record. NCBI's taxonomy places the organism in Eukaryota, Metazoa, Chordata, Mammalia, Rodentia, Bathyergidae. The transcript is spliced from 3 exons.
AACAAGUCCUACAAGAGUAUUCACUGACCGCACUGGGGCCCAGCAUAGUCAAUCAAAGGGCUCCAUUGGCCCAGGCAGCAGGUGAGCUGGGCUUAUGGAUAUGAAGUGACUUACAUGAGAUGUCUCUGCUGCCAGAAUUACGAUUCGCAUAUGAGCCUGCAUAGUCCAAGGCCUUGGGCUACCAAGAAUCCCGAAGGGACCAUGAGAGUCUGCAGCAGAUGGGACAUUUACAGAACAGAGAUGCCAGUGUUCCUGGGAAAUCUGAAAAGUACAAACACAC